UACGUAGGGCGCAAGCGUUGUCCGGAAUUAUUGGGCGUAAAGAGCUCGUAGGCGGUUUGUCGCGUCUGCUGUGAAAACCUAAGGCUCAACCUUGGGCUUGCAGUGGGUACGGGCAGACUAGAGUGCGGUGGGGGGUGACUGGAAUUCCUGGUGUAGCGGUGGAAUGCGCAGAUAUCAGGAGGAACACCGAUGGCGAAGGCAGGUCACUGGGCCGCAACUGACGCUGGAGGA
RNAcentral lists this ribosomal RNA (231 nucleotides) under uncultured bacterium. RNAcentral describes it as "partial 16S ribosomal RNA". It matches the Rfam family "Bacterial small subunit ribosomal RNA", at positions 524 to 752 of the family's 1533-position model. The record is from RNAcentral.